CGCGUAGGUGGUUGUGUAAGUCAGAUGUGAAAUCCCGAGGCUCAACCUUGGAACUGCAUCUGAUACUGCAUGACUCGAGUACAGCAGAGGGAAACGGAAUUCCUGGUGUAGAGGUGAAAUUCGUAGAUAUCAGGAGGAACACCGGUGGCGAAGGCGGUUUCCUGGGCUGAUACUGACACUGAGGCGCGAAAGCGUGGGGAGCAAACAG
This 208-nucleotide ribosomal RNA is filed under the name uncultured bacterium. Its description in RNAcentral is "partial 16S ribosomal RNA". It matches the Rfam family "Bacterial small subunit ribosomal RNA", at positions 568 to 775 of the family's 1533-position model. The record is from RNAcentral.